RNAcentral lists this microRNA precursor (59 nucleotides) under Eisenia fetida (common brandling worm). Its description in RNAcentral is "Efe-Mir-184-o3_pre stem-loop". Lineage: Eukaryota; Metazoa; Annelida; Clitellata; Crassiclitellata; Lumbricidae. The record is from RNAcentral.
CCUUGUCACUUCUUCGUCACGUGUCACUCCUUACAACUGGACGGAGAACUGAUAAGGGG